UACGUAGGGGGCAAGCGUUGUCCGGAUUUACUGGGCGUAAAGAGCGUGUAGGCGGCCAAGCAGGUCCGUUGUGAAAACUGGAGGCUUAACCUCCAGACGUCGACGGAAACCGCGUGGCUAGAGUCCGGAAGAGGAGAGUGGAAUUCCUGGUGUAGCGGUGAAAUGCGUAGAUAUCAGGAGGAACACCGGUGGCGAAGGCGGCUAUCUGGACAGAAACUGACGCUGAGGCGCGAAAGCUAGGGGAGCAAACAGG
RNAcentral lists this ribosomal RNA (253 nucleotides) under uncultured bacterium. RNAcentral's name for it is "partial 16S ribosomal RNA". It matches the Rfam family "Bacterial small subunit ribosomal RNA", at positions 524 to 776 of the family's 1533-position model. The record is from RNAcentral.